This 86-nucleotide transfer RNA is filed under the name Alphaproteobacteria bacterium. RNAcentral's name for it is "tRNA-Tyr". It matches the Rfam family "tRNA". Rfam says of the family: Transfer RNA (tRNA) molecules are approximately 80 nucleotides in length. Lineage: Bacteria; Pseudomonadati; Pseudomonadota; Alphaproteobacteria. The record is from RNAcentral. RNAcentral also lists the same sequence under 1 other name.
GGAGAGGUUGCCGAGUGGCCAAUGGCAACAGACUGUAAAUCUGUCGGAGUAAUCCUUCGAAGGUUCGAAUCCUUCUCUCUCCACCA